Molecule: ribosomal RNA, 466 nt
Filed under: uncultured bacterium
Lineage: Bacteria
Description: partial 16S ribosomal RNA
Rfam family: Bacterial small subunit ribosomal RNA
Source: RNAcentral
GAUGAACGCUGGCGGCGUGCUUAACACAUGCAAGUCGAACGAUGAAGCCCAGCUUGCUGGGUGGAUUAGUGGCGAACGGGUGAGUAACACGUGAGUAACCUGCCCUUUACUCUGGGAUAAGCGCUGUAAACGGCGUCUAAUACCGGAUACGAGCUUCCACCGCAUGGUGUGUUGCUGGAAAGAAUUUCGUUCAAGGAUGGACUCGCGGCCUAUCAGGUAGUUGGUGAAGUAACGGCUCACCAAGCCGACGAAGGGUAGCCGGCCUGAGAGGGUGACCGGCAAAAAAGGGAAUGAAAAAAGGACAAGACGACAACGGGAGGCAGAAGUGGGGAAUAGUGAACAAUGGGAGCAAGACUGAUGCAGAAACGACGCGUGAGGGACGAAGGCCUGCGGGUCGUAAACCUCUUUUAGCAGGGAAGAAGCGAAAGUGACGGUACCUGCAGAAAAAGCACCGGCUAACUACGUG